This 459-nucleotide ribosomal RNA is filed under the name uncultured Streptococcus sp. Its description in RNAcentral is "partial 16S ribosomal RNA". It matches the Rfam family "Bacterial small subunit ribosomal RNA", at positions 341 to 792 of the family's 1533-position model. The record is from RNAcentral. Lineage: Bacteria; Bacillati; Bacillota; Bacilli; Lactobacillales; Streptococcaceae.
ACGGAAGGCAGCAGUAGGGAAUCUUCGGCAAUGGGGGCAACCCUGACCGAGCAACGCCGCGUUAGUGCCUACGUUUUUCUGAUCGUAAAGCUCUGUUGUAAGAGAAGAACGUGUGUGAGAGUGGAAAGUUCACACAGUGACGGUAACUUACCAGCAAGGGACGGCUAACUACGUGCCAGCAGCCGCGGUAAUCCGUAGGUCCCGAGCGUUGUCCGGAUUUAUUGGGCGUAAAGCGAGCGCAGGCGGUUUAAUAAGUCUGAAGUUAAAGGCAGUGGCUUAACCAUUGUUCGCUUUGGAAACUGUUAGACUUGAGUGCAGAAGGGGAGAGUGGAAUUCCAUGUGUAGCGAUGGAAUGCGUAGAUAUAUGGAGGAACACCGGUGGCGAAAGCGGCUCUCUGGUCUGUAACUGACGCUGAGGCUCGAAAGCGUGGGGAGCAAACAGGAUUAGAUACAGUGGUA